RNAcentral lists this long non-coding RNA (23448 nucleotides) under Citrus x clementina. RNAcentral describes it as "Citrus clementina (C. clementina) long non-coding RNA (CCLE_LNC004091)". The record is from RNAcentral. Lineage: Eukaryota; Viridiplantae; Streptophyta; Magnoliopsida; Sapindales; Rutaceae.
UUUAUGAUGGCUUUAUCGCAUUUCUUAACCAUGCAAUAAAAAACUAUUUCAUUCCCUCUAAUGCGAAAAAACUCUUUAUUUGUGCUCACACUGCUAAUGAGCUACUUGAUAUGUUACAAGCUUAUCGACCGGAGCCAGACCCCUGGACCUUUGUGUUGGAGCGUCCAAAUAAUGAUGGUAACAGUAGCCGCAGUAAGAAGUACAAAUUAGAUUUAACUCUCCGCCUAUAAAUAUUUUCUUCUGUGUUGCACCACCCAGGUGAUGUCUUCUAAACUCUACUUCUUUCAUUUCAAACAUUGAGGACAAUGUUUCGUUCUGGUUGGGGGGAGGGAAUAGUCGACAAUUGUGGAAUUUUGGUUACGUUUUUACUAAUUUUUUGUUGUAGAAACUAACUGUUGCUAACUUUUUGUGUUGAAGAUGGCUGAAUAUGGAGUGUAGUUACUCUAGAAACGCAUCUUCAUUGUUUGAAAAAAAAAUUCAAAAAAAAAAAAUUCAGACAUUUUCUUUUUCUUUAUUAUGUGUUUAUGUUUAUUUUUCUUCUUUAAUUUCUCCUCUAUAAAUAUACAUUUUCCAACUUUUGAGUCGAAGAUGGCUGAAUAUGGAGUGUAGUUCCUCUAGAAACGCAUCUUCUUUUAAAAAAAAAAAUCAUUUUCGUUUUCUAUCAUUUUACGUGUAACUUUUCUAAUUAGUUUUUAUACAUCAUUUUCACAUUUCUGCAUACAUAUUUUUCUUUCAUGUUUAGAAUAGGUUGGGGGGUAGAAUGAUGUUUAAAAAAAAAAUGUGUGAUUUGUUUUAACAUUGGAUGACAUGAUUAAUUUCAAAUUUUAGUAUUUGUAUUAUCUUUGGUCUUAAGUGAUGUUACGCUAUGUUUGCUACUUUACAUGUUGAUGUCGGAGACAAAUGUGAGUUGCUUGAAGGAAUGAACAUGUCAUAAUAAGUACCAAGUGAGUUUUUGAGCCUAUUAUUUUUCUUGGAGAAUAACCCUUUUGCCCACUCUUUAUACAGCUUAGCAGUUUAUUAUUUUAUACACGAUCUCUAAAUUACUUUUGAGUUAACCCUUAAAAAAAAAUUGUAAAAUAAAAAAAAAGAGAAAAAAGAAAAAGAAAAAAGAGUGUGUUGCUACAUUUGGAGGCCCAUCUAACUAGUAGAUAUGGAAGAUUAUUUAGAGCCCUAAAAGACGAUGGAGAGGCCAUCUUUGAUCCGUUUGAGCCUUUCAAGCCAUCCCUUUUAUUUAAUAUCCAUAGUUAACCCUUUUGAGCCUUUAAAAAAAAAAAAAAACUUUUCUUUCUCAACUUAUCAUCUUGACCCACUCCGAUUUGGAGUAUUACCCGAUAUCUUAUAAGUUCCAUCACCUAUUUAUGUUUGAGAAAAUGUAAAUAAUUAUUUUGUUCAGUGAAGUUAUGCCAAAUAAAAGCAAAAAAAACAAAAAAACAAAAACAAAAACAAAAGUUGUUGUUUCAAAAGAAUAAAAAUAGGUGAAAUCCACCUUGCAACUUCCAAAAAAAAAUUCUCUGCAUUUUUCUCAAACAUACUCAAACAUACACUUUGUUUUCCUUAUUUUCCUUCUUUGUUAGCCAUGUCCCUAGCCUACGUUUCGCCCUAAUAAAAGUCCUUGGGAACUAUAGUUUGAAGUAGAAGCUAGUUAUAUGGGCUAAAAAGAUGUAGUGAUGCAUAAUUAAAAAAAAAAAAAGAUAAAUAAAGUGGGUUGACUAACAUUUUAUUUGACUUGAGAUCGUAUUAUUUCUAAGCUGAGGGCAUAUUUAUUUCAUCUUGGUGAGAGCAUGUGAUAUCACUUCUUUAUUAUUUUCUCUCUCAAUUACCAUUCAUUGGAGUGACUAUUUUUAUUGGGAUUAAUUUAUUUGUGAGAGUGUCACUACUUCCAGUGAGAUUUUGGGGUUUGACAUGUCAUUCUUGAGAGUAGGUAAAACAAAGUCUACUGGGCUAAUUCAUGUGGAUGGUUGAUGUGGGUGUGAUGUUGCUUUAGACUGGAGAUAAUGCUUAUACUUUUAUUUGAUUGCUAUCAUUAAUAUGAUGGAAUAAAUACGAGUGUUUCUAUUAAAACAAAAAAAAAUAUUUUGAAUUUGAAUUUUGUUUUCGCUUUAUUUGCUAGGGACUAGCAAUAAGCUGGUUGGGGGGUGUGUUGAGUGUUAGAAAAUGCAUAUUUAUAAAGGAGAAAACCGUCAUUUUACAUUUUAAGUCUUACUAACAACCCUUACUUUUAUAUAUUUAACCUUCUUGUGAUUUAAUUACAUGUGUUUUAUUUUAAUUAAGUAUUUUAUGUAUUUUAGGGGCAUUAUAGUCAUUUCACAAUAAAGGAGAGAUCAGACGGCAAAACGGACAUCACUUUUGAACUCAGGACGGUCGAAAACCUUAGGAGGAGCAUAAAAGGAAAAAUGGCACUAUUCACAUGUACGGUACUAUUCACGUGUACGGUACUGUAUACGUUACUGUUCACGACACUGUUCACAUAGACGGAUGAUGACGUGGCAUUGACCGAUGAUGUGGCAUUGACUGAUGAGGUGUCACGAUCCUGUUGGACUAAAAUUCUUAUGUACUGUUGAUGGUGACGUGGCAGCAUAUCAGUAGACGAAAAAUCCGCGUACGGUGCAUGCAUCACACAUGAUUAUUUUCAACCAAACCGCGUUACUGUUCAUCCGGGUCAAACCGUGUUACUGUUCAUCCGCGUGGUCAAACCGUGGAUUGUUGACUGAUGACGUGGCGCAAUCCUGAGCGUCCAAACUGUUUUUAAUCCGAUGGCCAUGAUUUACUCUAUGUAUCUAUAAAAAGGGGGCCUCCCCCCCCUAAUUUGAUAUCUCUGAAUCCAUUUUUGGACUCUGUUUUCUGUAAUUCCCUCUCCAUCUUGUAUUUUCUUCGUAUUUUAAUAAAUUCCUAUUUUGCCCCUAGUUCAAUUAUGAGUGGCUAAUUUUCUUUCAAGCUUGGGUUGAAGGUGAAGUCUCAACAUGUGUCAUGGGCUUAAUUUGGUAAAUUUAUUUUCUCUUCCCCUCUAGUUUUUGUGGAUGUUUUGACUUCUCGUCGACAAAUAAUACUAAUCUUGUCUAGUACCGCCUUGGUUUCACCGGCCCUCUAGUAUAAGGUUAUUAUUAUUUGGCACGAUAAGCCCUUAGCACCAUAUUGAUUAGAGCGUGGUUCAUGAGGUGUGGAUUCCCCCCUCAUGAUUUAAUUGGCAUUAAUAAGGAAUAUUUAGCCCAUGAUGCAUGUUGAUGCGGAUCCGAAUACCCAAGUACGUCAUUUCAAUAGAAUUAUCUUCAGUCUAUUCUCGCCAUUGCAAGUCAAAUUUUAGAAUUUAUUAUCGCCAUUUCAAUUCCAAUUUUAGAAUAAUUUAAAUCACUUCCACCACAAUUCCAACCACCCAUUUACAAAAUUAAUUCUACAUAUAAUUAAAAUCCACCUCCUCGUGGGAUCGACACUCGUCACCAUUGAUCUACACUACAAUAGAUUCGUGCGCUUGCGAGUACAUUAAAAUUUGCACAACAGUGGACAAUUUCCUGAUGUACAAAAGCAUUAUCACACAGUCUACAAAGAGAUCUUAGCCGUGAAAAAUGGUAUCAAGAAAUUUGAAUUCCAUUUGAUUGGUCAUAGAUUCUUGAUCAGAAUAGAUAAUUCAGCUUUUCCCAAUAUCUUGAACUUUAAGUAGAAGGCUGUUCCAAAAAAGACCUUACUUUGGCUUAAAGAAUGGUUUUCGAGAUAUGGCUACCAUGUCCAGCAUAUAAAAGGAGAUCAUAACCUCAUCCCAAAUUUACUAUCCAGACCUCCAAAACCAAAACCUUCCCAGUUCUUCUGUAUCACUUCUUAGAUUUCUUUCUCGAUCAUUGCGAUGGCUAGUUCAUUUCCUAAAACAGCUCUCACCCAAAAGUCUUUCCUACUCAACAUGACUUUUCAAUCACCUCACCAAAUCCAAGAUUUUGCCAGAAAAUUCCUCUUUAGGUUUUUUUAUGAACAUCUAUACGAAGAGUAAAGAACUUAUGUUUUUUCCAGUUUUCAUCCUGAUCAUCUUUUCCUUACUGGAUUAGUAAUUACACCCCACAGGGAUAUUAUCGAAGAUGAACUUUGGUAUACAUGGUGUCUUACUGUUCUAUAUGCCACAAAAAUAGUUUUCCCAGUCUUACCCCUUCUCUCCAAGCUCAAUGAUCUAGAGUUUUCUACCUCUCUUACCUGAACUCUUUUUGAAUGGUUUUCACCAUUAUCAUGGUGGCGCAGAAAGCUACAACAGAUUGCUGACACGCACCAUUUUCUAGAACUCCCAGACCAAGAAGGAAAACAUUUCACCUCUGUUUUUAUCGUCCACCGUCCAUAUUUCCAACAUCCUCAUACCAAGGAUUUUUGGACACAAAAUCAGAGUUAUGAAUGGACCACUGUUCCUCACAUUGUCUGUCUUGAAUAAGAUUUUCACAUCAAGACUUCCUUAAAAAAAUUUCUCAUGGAACUCAACCACAUUCCUCCAGACCAACCAGAUAUCCUCUACACAUCUCUUGGACCAAAACAUGAAAUGUUCAUGAUCCCUACACCAUCCUUACAUUCCCAACCUCCUAACCGUGGAAUCAUCAUAAAAUAAGAAAAGCCAGAUUACACUGACUUCUUAUUCCAAGAUUCCCAAGAUCCUUAUGAGGAUUUUACCCUGGUACCUUCACCAUUACCAUAUGAACUUGGAUAAUCCUCUUCUCCAUAUCCACCAUUUUCCUCUCAGCCUGAUCAGCCUGAACAUUAUCCUCAACUAGUUCCUUCAUCUCCACAAGAUAUUCCUCCAGUAAAAGGAUAAUAUUGCCCUUGGCCAUGUGUUUUAGGAUGUUCUCAUCCAGAGAGAAUCUUCAAGAAAGAUAAGAACCCUGAUCAUGACCCUGACGAGACUGAAUCAUCAUCAGAAGAUGGCUUCAUAUCUCUUUAAGAUAUUUGUCAUCUUGUAAUAAUGAGUGUCUUUAGCUUUUGCUUUCAGCUUUUACUUUUAACUUUUUAAAGUUGUUUGCCAUUUUGUAAUAAGUGUAUGCUUUAGCUUUAUGCUUUAGUUGUUUGUCCUUAUGUAAUCAUGCACUUUACUUUUGUAAAAUAUGUGUGCAUGUAUGCUAGCUGGAAGAAUCUUGAUCCAGCUUUUUACUCCUCCUUAUCCUUAUAUAAGGAGAGUUAUUUUGAAUAAACAUUAGAGGAGUUUUGAGAUAACUUUCCAAGUUUCAAUAUUCCACCCCAUGUAUAACUAAAACUUUCGUUUCUAUUUUUUUAAUCUAAAGAUUCUUUAGGUUUAGAACUCUUACCCUUGUUCAAAUGUCUAUCUUCUAUAAGUAUGCUCUGCACUUGCCUUGAAAAAGGAUCCUGUGCAUCAGAAAGCUAGUCAGGCUCUUAUUCUUUCUUUGUUCUGAGAUAAUAGACGGAACCCUGCCUUUAGACUAAGUGACCAAGGAGAGUAUGUGUCUUUUUAGGUUGUCUAUGUUCUUAGUUCAUCAUAAGAAUGGAAUGUCUGGUAUCUCGUGUUAGCCUAAAGGGCUAUACAUAAUGUAAUUUUGAUGAUAACAAACAUAUGUAUUAAGUGAUUUAAUAAAUAUUGUAUUUCACAUUUUCACUAGUUUUUUAAGGAUAAUAUUUAUGCAAGUGAAUCAAGUGAAAUCAAGAUUGAAGACACUCAACGGACAACGGCGACAUCAAGAAUAUAGUUUAGAGCUCAACGAACAAAUUAGUGCAAUAAAUUCUUGUAAAGCCGGUAUGAUUUAAUUGAUGCAUGAUUUAGCAUUUGAGAAGCUCAAGAGAUUAAUUUAAUUAAAUACUUUUCAUAAACUAAAAGGUUUUAUUUUUAUAAAGUAAAGUAUUUUGUGGAUUUAAGUAAUUUGGACUUAAAUGCUAAGAUUUUAAAUCUUUGAUUUUAAAUAAGUAUUAAAUUUCGGAGUUGGACGUUUUUAUAAACAUUUGAAAUGUUUUGGGCCAUACUAUAAUUUAUGAAUAUUUUGGACAAAAGUGAAAGGUUUUGAGAACUUUGAAAAAUAUGAGUAUUAUGUUGAAAAUGACCUUUGUGCGUAAUAAUAAAAUCUUUGGGCCAUAGCAUAAUUUCAUAAAUUUUGGGAAAGACAACUACUCUUAGGAAGUUCUGAAAUUGGACCUAUUUGUAAAGUUUUAAGACGUUUUGGGCUAUAGUAUAAUUAUAAAAAGUUUUGGGCCAAAAUAUAAUUUUAGUGAACAGUGUUACUGUAGCAAAUUAAAAAAUAACGGUAAUAUCACUGUUCCUGAGUGGCUAGCUGGAUAAUCAAGCGGCUAACCGCUUGAGUGCUGGAAUUUGCCUAUAACGGCUAGGUUUUGGGCUUUCACUAUAAAAACUCAACUGAAACUUCAUUUUAAGAACCAAUGCACACAAAUAUAAGAUCAUACAACAUAUAUUGAGCUUCCAAAAUUCAAAUCAUCAUUGAUUGAAUCAUUGUUGAGCUAUUAGUUGCAUAUCCACUCUUAAAGAGAGUUUUUGUUGUAAUUUUCAUUUCUUAUCAAAUUGUGAGUGUGUAAGUGUGGGAAAUACUUGGGGUGAAGAGAUUGGGAGAUAAUCUUUUGGUUCUAAAGGUUCAUUGACACCUUGGAAGUCAAUUGUAAAAACUUGAAGCCUUGGGAGGCUUGGAUAGUGAAAUCCUCGAGCUUGGUUGGCUUGGAGGCGUGGACGUAGGCGGGGAUUGCCGAACCACGUAAAAAUCCGCGUGUUUCUUUUUCUCUUCCCUUGCUCUUUUAUUUUUAUGCUUGUUUGAAUUUAUUGUUCUAUAUUUCAUUAAGGCGUUAGAUUGAUUUAUUGUACGAAUCGUAUUGCAUUAUUUUUAAAAACUCAAUUCACCCCCCCUCUUGGGUUGCGUUACUUGCAUUUCAUUUGGUAUCAGAGCUUGGUUCUCUUGUUAGGACUUAACCGUCUAGAGUAAAAGAUCCAUGGCAACCCAAAAUGAUUCAACCUUUAGGGAAGGACAAUACACAACUAGGCCACCAUUUUUUGACGGAAAUGACUACCCGUAUUGGAAAACUAGGAUGAGAAUUUAUUUACAAGCACUAGAUUAUGAAAUUUGGGAAGUUGUAUGUGAUGGUCCAUUUAUGCCUUCAACUAAAAAUGAAUUCGGGGAAGACAUUCCAAAACCUUCACGGGAAUUGAAUGAAUUGGAAAAGAGAAAAGCUUCUCUAAAUUCCAAAGCCAUGAAUGCCUUGUUUUGUGCACUCGAUAAGAAAGAGUUUCAUAGAGUGUCUAGUUGUGAAAGUGCUAAUGAAAUUUGGCACAAACUUGAAGUUGUUUAUGAAGGCACGAAUCAAGUGAAAGAGUCUAAGAUUAGUAGGUACACUCGGCAAUAUGAAUUGUUCCAAAUGGAACAAAAUGAGAGUGUAUAUUCUAUGUAUACUAGAUUUACGGACAAAGUAAACACUCUAGGAGCCCUAGGAAAGACCUUUUCAAAUAGCGAAAAAGUUAAGAAAAUCAUUAGAUCAUUACCUAAGAAAUGGAGACAAAAAAGGACUGUCAUUGAGGAAGUUAAAGAUUUGAAUAUCUUACCUAUUGAUGAUUUAAUUGGUUCUCUUAUUUCUUAUGAGGAAAAAAAGAAAGACAUUGCUCUCAAAGCCACAAAAUAUGAGAGUGAUGGGGAAGUGAGCCGGAUGAUGAGGAGUUGGCUAUGCUAGCAAGGAGGUUCAGAAAAUUUUUCAAGAAAACCGGUGACCGAAGGAAAUUUAGAAACUUCAAAAACCAAAAGGAGAAGAAAGAGGUAAUCAUAUGUUAUGAAUGCAAAAAGCCCGGCCAUAUAAGAUCGGAAUGCCCACUUCUCAACAAACACAAGAAGAAAGCUAUGGUUGCUACUUGGGAUGAUAGCGAUGAAGAUUCAAGUGAUGAAGAAGAGUCGCAAGAAGUAUCAAACCUAGCACUUGUGGCACUAGGAAAUGAUGAUGAUCUCAAUGAGGUAAGUGAUCCAACUUAUGAUGAAUUGUAUGAUGCUUUUAAAGAAAUGCAUGAUGAGUUGAUGAAAAUUGGUAAAAAGAAUGCAUGCCUUAAAAAGAAAUUGAUAGAAUUUACAAAUGAAAAGGAUGCCAUGCAAAAAUGCAAUGAGUCAUUGAAUGAGAAGAUUAAAGGAUUAGAAUUAGAUAAUAAAACCUUGCAUAAUAGAGUUGCAUUAUUAAAUGAAAAGCCUAACACUUCACAUGAGCAUUUAGAGUCACAUGUAGAUGAUUUGAAAAAGGAAAAUGAAAUGCUCAAGAAAAAGAAUAUUGAACUUAGUAAUGUUGUUCUAAAAUUUACAAAUGGGCAAAAGAUGUUGGAUAACAUGUUUAAUUCUCAAAAAUGUGUUUUUGAUAAAGGAGGACUUGGGUAUAAGCCUAACUUGAAGUAAAAGUAUUAUAAGAAUUAUUUUGUUAAAGCUACCUCCACAAGUGAUCAUAAGAGUGUUUGUCAUUAUUGUAACCAAAAUGGUCACAUGAAAUAUAGAUGUCUCGUAAAAAAGAAUGCAUAUUAUGGUGUCAAAUGUAUUUGGGUUCCAAAAGGAACCGUUGCUAAUGCUCAAGGACCCAAAAAGGUUUGGGUACCUAAGACAUAAGAUUUUCUUUGCAGGGCUUGAAGAAAAAGAAAAAUAAAUGGUACUUGGAUAGCGGAUGUUCUAGGCAUAUGACCGGAAACUAUGCAUGGUUCUCAAGUUUCACCAAAAUCGAAAAUAGUGGAGAUGUAUCCUUUGGAGAUAACUCAAAAGGAAAAAUUCUCGGAAUUGGAAAAGUUGGUAAAAUUUCUUCAACUCUAAUUGAAAAUGUGUGCUUGGUUGAAAAUUUGAAACACAAUUUGAUUAGCAUUAGUCAACUAUGUGACAAAGGUUAUAAAGUUGUUUUUAUAAAUCAAGAUGUGUUAUUGAGAAUGCAUGUGAUGGGAAAAUUUUGUUUAUGGGAAAUAGAUGUGGCAAUGUUUACACGAUUGAUAUAGAGUGUGCAUCUACUCAUGAUAAAUGUUUUUCGGCAUUGCAUGAUGAUGGUUGGUUAUGGCAUAGAAGACUAGGACAUGCUAGCAUGGAUUUAAUUUCAAAAAUUUUGAAAAACAAUUUAGUUAAAGGUCUUCCAAAAAUUAGUUUUCAAAAGGAUAAAAUUUGUGAAGCAUGUCAAUUUGGAAAACAAAUCAAAACCUCUUUAAAAAACAAGAAUCAUAUUUCUACUUUAAAACCUCUUCAAUUACUUCACAUAGAUUUUCUUGGACCUUCUAGAUAUGCUAGUUUAAGUGGCAAAUUUUAUGCAUUUGUAAUUGUAGAUGAUUAUUCUAGAUACACAUGGGUAUUAUUCUUAGUUAAUAAGGAUGAUGCCAUUGAUGCAUUUAGAAUUUUCUAUAAAAAGGUUCAAAAUGAAAAGGGUUAUUCUAGUACUUGUAUUAGAAGUGAUCAUGGUGGAGAGUUUGAAAAUCAUGCAUUUGAAAAUUUUUGUAAUGAUUUUGGCAUUGAGCAUCAAUUUUCAUCACCUAGGACUCCACAACAAAAUGGAGUUGUUGAGAGAAAGAAUAGGUCUAUUCAAGAAAUGUCCAGGACCAUGUUAAAUGAAAAUGCAUUACCAAAAUAUUUUUGGGCCGAAGCCGUCAACACCGCUUGUUAUGUUUUAAAUCGGGUGUUGAUUAGACCUCAUCUCAAUAAAACUCCCUAUGAGCUUUGGAAAGAUAGAAAACCCAACAUUGGUUAUUUCAAAGUUUUUGGAUGAAAAUGUUUUAUUUUAAACGCAAAAGAUAAUCUUGCUAAAUUUGAUCCAAAAUCUGAUGUUAGCAUCUUUCUCGGGUAUUCAAACUCAAGCAAAGCUUAUAGAGUUUAUAAUAAAAGAACUUUAGUUGUGGAAGAAUCCAUGCAUGUUGCGUUUGAUGAAUCUAACCCCUCCUCUGUGGAGAAAGGAGUUGUUAAUGAUGAUGCAGAUGGAGAGCUACAAGAAGAAUCAUCAAAAGAGAAUCAAGAGAAUUCACCACAAGAAAAUCAAGAGGAUAGACAAGAAGAACAAACAAAUAUGGAGCUGGAACAACAAGAAGGUAGUUCUCAAACACUCCCCAAGGAGUGGAGGUAUGUUUCCUCUCAUCCUAAGGAUUUAAUUUUAGGUGAUCCUUCAAGAGGUAUCACAACUAGAUCAUCACUUAGAAACACAUGUGAGCAUGCUGCAUUUAUUUCUCAAAUUGAACCAAAAUCUUUUGCGGAUGCGGAAAAUGAUGAGUUUUGGAUUAUGGCAAUGCAAGAGGAGUUAAAUCAAUUUGAGAGAAAUAAAGUAUGGGAAUUGGUUCCUAAACCGGAACAUCAAUCCAUUAUAGGCAUUAAAUGGGUAUUUAGAAAUAAAAUGGAUGAAUCCGGUGUGGUUGUAAGAAAUAAAGCUAGAUUAGUGGCUCAAGGAUACAACCAAGAAGAAGGAAUCGAUUUCGAUGAAACAUUUGCACCUGUAGCUAGAUUAGAAUCCAUUAGGAUGUUGUUAGCAUUUCCAUGUCAUAAAGAUUUUAUUUUAUUUCAAAUGGAUGUCAAGAGUGCUUUCCUAAAUAGUUAUAUUACGAAGGAAGUUUAUGUGAAACAACCCCCUGGUUUCGAAAAUGAGAAAUUUCCAAAUCAUGUGUAUAAGUUAUCAAAAGCAUUGUAUGGAUUAAAACAAGCACCUAGAGCAUGGUAUGAUAGGCUUAAAAAUUUCUUGUUGGAUAACGGUUUUUCGAUGGGAAGAGCGGAUACUACCUCUUUAUUAAAAAUAAAAAUCAAGAUAUACUUGUUGUUCAAAUUUAUGUUGAUGAUAUUAUUUUUGGUUCUACUAAUGAAUCUUUGUGCAAAGAAUUUUCCUCUUGUAUGAGUAAGGAAUUUGAGAUGAGCAUGAUGGGAGAAUUGAAGUAUUUUCUUGGACUUCAAAUCAAACAAAACAAUGAGGGGAUCUUCAUCAACCAAGCUAAGUACGUCAAAGACUUGCUCAAGAGAUUUGGUAUUGAUGAAUCAAAUACCAAGAAUACUCCAAUGAGUACAACAAUCAAGCUUGAUAAAGAUGAAAAAGGUAAAGAGGUUGAUAUUAAAAAGUAUCGAGGUAUGAUCGGAUCCUUACUUUACUUAACCGCAAAUAGACCCGAUAUCAUGUUUAGUGUAUGUUUGUGUGCAAGAUUUCAAUCAUGUCCCAAGGAAUCUCAUUUGCUUGCUGUUAAAAGAAUUUUUUGUUAUUUGAGUGGAAUCAUAGAUAUUGGCCUUUGGUAUCCUAGAGGAACUCAUAUAGAUUUAACUUGUUAUUUGGAUGCCGAUUUUGCUGGUCACAAGGUCAAUAGGAAGAGUACUAGUGGAACUUGCCAUUUUCUUGGUCAUUCACUUGUUUCAUGGUUUAGUAAGAAACAAAAUUCGGUGGCACUCUCAACUACUGAAGCGGAAUAUAUUGUCGUAGGUAGUUAUUGUGCACAAGCACUUUGGAUGAAACAAACACUUAGAGACUAUGGUAUUAAUCUUGAACAAAUUCCUAUCAAGUGUGAUAAUACUAGCGCCAUAAAUCUUUCAAAGAAUCCCAUUCAACAUUCUAAAACCAAGCAUAUAGAGAUUAGGCAUCAUUUCUUGAGGAUUAUGUUCAAAAAGGUGAUAUUGCAUUAGAAUUUAUCUCUACGGAAAAAUAACUUGCCGAUAUUUUUACAAAACCCCUUUGCGAAGAACAAUUUUCAAAAAUUCGGCAUGAACUUGGGAUGAUGAAAUUUUCGCAUUAACAUCUCUAUGUAUGUUAUUGAAUCUACUAAAAUUGUUUGCUUGAUGAUUUUUAAUGUUUAUGAAGUGUUUGCGAAUGUUAGAUAUAUGAAGUGUUUGAUUUAUUAAUUUUCGAAUGCUUAUGUGUUUCAUGAAUAUAUGUUUGUUGGAUGGAUUAUUAGUUUGAAUUAAUCAUCUUUUGGAUGUUUAAAAUCUUGAAUCAUGCAUUAAAUUGGCUCUUGAGAUGUUUCGGGAUCACAAAAUGGUCACGAAAUUGAUCGAAACUAGCCGGAAAGCAAGUAGAGUGCAGGUGGACAGCAACCAGGCGGCUAGCCGCCUGUUCCAAGCAGCUAGCCGCUUGGAAAAUUGUCCCAAACCCGAGAGCAAGCGGCUAGCCGCUUGGUCACGAGUUGGGCAUAUUGUUUUUUGCUUCUUCUUCUUCUUUUGUUAAUUUUCUGCACAUGCUCUCUUUUUCACUCAAAACCGUGAGCAACCCAUCCAUUUUCACUUCCAUUUUCUUCCUUUUUCAUCCAUUUUCAUGCCCAAAUCAACCAUUCAAACUAAUACCCAUGCAUUUCAUCUUCAUUAAACCCUUCUCCAUCAUGAUUUCUUCACUUGUUCUUCAUCAUUCCAUCCUCAUUCCAUUCACGCGUGAAUAGUGUUCUCCAUUUUCUUUCUCAAAUUUCUUCAUCUUUCACUCAUUUUCUUGUUAAAAUCAAUCAUCCAACUCAUUAUUCAUCCAUUACUCCUUCAAUUUUCACUCUCAAAACAACAUUUCAUCAACUCUCCACAUAAAACCCAAAAUAAAAAAUUCUCACUCUACCCGUUUCUCUCUCUUCAUUUUCAAGCUUCCUUUUAGCCCAUUUUUAAUUCACUCUACAUCAUAAAUUAGCUUCAUUCAUCUCUAGGAUUAAUUUUCUUGCCUCAAACAAAUCCAUUUCACUAAAUUUUUGUUAAACCCGAAAUUACAUUUUUAAGCUCUUUUUUCUUCCAACAAUGGCGGGUGGUGACAAGUCCAAGGGAAAACACAUGGCCAAGAAGCUUAAGGAUGAUCAUGGAGAUUAUUCGGACUUUAUGUUGAUUCAUUUUCCUCGACUCCAACUUCGGAAACAUUUUCUCGACCAUUUCAAGCCAAGGACGGUAAUUACUCCUUAUUUUGUCAAUCUCAAUAAUAUGAAGAAUUUAGAAAUUUGUGAUAAAUCUCUUAAAGAUUUACUUAUUGCUAUGAGAUGGAAGAACGUGUUGGUCGUUAAUGAUCCUUACUAUGAAAAUUUAGUCAAGGUUUUCUAUUCGAAUAUGGAUACGGAAGUGUCAAAUAGAAUUGUUACUAAUGUUGGGAGAGUUCACAUUGAAUUUGAUGUUGCUUUGCUAAAUUCUAUCCUUGGCACUCCAAAUGAGGGAUUGGAAAUAUAUAGUGCUAGAGCCAAAAUCAAACAACCUUGGUUUUCCCUUGAAAAUGCCGUUCGAAAUAUUUGUCGACGGCAUGAUUUGUCCAUUGCGUUCUGUAACUCACUUUUGAAAUCUCAAACCUUGCCCCUUCAAACUUGAAUCCUUCAUUAUGUUCUUCAUCAUGUGAUUACUCCUAGGGCUGGUCAUGCGGAUGAAGUUAGCCAUUUAGAUGUAGCCAUUUUGGAUUGUAUUCUAGAGGAGAGGGUGCUAAAUAUUGAGUAUAUUAUCUUUCAUCACAUGCUUAGUACUCCCAACUUAGCCAAACGAUCUCUUCCAUAUGCUAGUAUUAUUACCCGAAUUCUAGAGUAUUUCCAUGUCCCUAUAACCGAGCCAAUCUCCUUGAAUUCGAGGGAAUUAGGUGAUGAAUCAAUUGCUAAUUUGGGUUUUUAUUGGAGGGAUGAUCAAUGGCAUAAAGAUGAAAGAAACAAAAAGGUUGGGGACAUUGCUCCUACAGAUCAUCGUUUCUUUAACGAUGUCCGUCCCCCACACUUGCUUCCUAAUCUUAGUGCUCCAUAUCUCUCACGACCUCCACCUUCCGAGGGUCCUUCCCACUCUACUUCAGCUGACUUUGAGGAUCCGUUGCAACAACCGUUAACUAAAGUGGAUUCACUUUCUGAGCGGCAAGACAAACUUCAGUCUAUGCUUGAAGCUUUUCACCUUCAAUCCAUUUCCGAGCGAGAGCGUCUCUUUGCUCAACAGCAGCAGCUUCUUUAUGGCCAGCAGCAACUUUUUGCAGCUCUUGGAUUUCCACCACCAUCCUCUUCAUCACAUCCACCAUCUCCUUAGCACUCUAUUUUAUUUUGUUAUUUGUCACUCUGCACUACAUUUAUUCAUGCCUGGUUGUUUUUCAUUUGCGGAUGAUAUCUUGUCGUUUGAUAGUUGGAUAUGUUAUUUUUAAUUUGUGGAUUAAGGAUGCUUGUUAUUUAAUCUUCAGAUAUGUUAUAUUUGGAUGAUGUUUUCGGAUUGAUUAAUUAUAUGCUUAAUUCUUAUGUGUUGCUUGAUAACUUGGUGGAGUUGUUGGUUUGUUAUACUUGUUAAACCUUAUAUGGAAGUGUUUUUAACCACAUUGUGUAUUUGAGGAUUUGUUCAUUUUUAAGGGAAGACUCUGUCGAAAUUUUUGCUCGCCCAAAAUUGGUAAUAUCUUCAUUGAAUUAUUUUUGGUGAUCUUGUUUCAAAUUGCAUAUAUCUAUUUUUUAAAGCAGGAAAUAAAUAUGAUAAGUUUUGGUUAAAUUUUUCCGUCUUAGCAUACAUUUCUAGUAAUUUUGAUGAUGAAGGGGGAGAAGUCAUGUAUUUUGAAUUUUGAAUAUGAAGACAUGUAAUACAUAUUUUUUAUUUCAAGUAUUUAUGCAUGUUUUUGAAAUAUUAAGGGAGAGCUUUCGAAUUAUCUAAAUCAAAUAUUCAGGGGGAGUUUUUGUUUUGAAUUUGAUUUAUAAGUUGAAGUCAUGUAUGCCAUGUAUUGAGGGGGAGUUUAAUGUCAAAAUACAUGAGAUGUUUGUCAUCAUCAAAAGGGGGAGAUUUUGUGGAUUUAAGUAAUUUGGACUUAAAUGCUAAGAUUUUAAAUCUUUGAUUUUAAAUAAGUAUUAAAUUUCAGAGUUGGACGUUUUUAUAAAUAUUUGAAAUGUUUUGGGCCAUACUAUAAUUUAUGAAUAUUUUGGACAAAAGUGAAAGGUUUUGAGAACUUUGAAAAAUAUGGGUAUUAUGUUGAAAAUGACCUUUGUGCGUAAUAAUAAAAUCUUUGGGGCCAUAGCAUAAUUUCAUAAAGUUUGGGAAAGACAACUACUUUUAAGAAGUUCUGAAAUUGGACCUAUUUGCAAAGUUUUAAGACGAUUUGAGAUAUAGUAUAAUUAUAAAAAGUUUUGGGCCAAAAUGUAAUUUUAGUGAACAGUGUUACUGUAGCAAAAUUCAAAAAUAACGGUAAUAUCACUUUUCCUGAGCGGCUGGUCAGAUAAUCAAGCGGCUAACGGCUUGAGCGCUGGAAUUUGCCUAUAACGGCUAGUUUUUGGUCUUUUACUAUAAAAACUCAACUCAAACUUCAUUUUAAGAACCAAUGCACGCAAAUAUAAGAUCAUACAACAUAUAUUGAGCUUCCAAAACGCAAAUCAUUAUUGAUUGAAUCAUUGUUGAGCUAUUAGUUGCAUAUCCACUCUUAAAGAGAGUUUUUGCUGUAAUUUUCAUUUCUUAUCAAAUUGUGAGUGUGUUAGUGUGGGAAACACUUGGGGUGAAGAGAUUGGGGAGAUAAUCUCUUGGUUGUAAAGGUUCAUUGACACCUUUGAAUUCAAUUGUAAAAACUUGAAGCCUUGGGAGGCUUGGAUAGUGAAAUCCUCGAGCUUGGUUGGCUUGGAGGCGUGGACGUAGGCGGGGAUUGCCGAACCACGUAAAACUCCGCGUGUUUCUUUUUCUCUUCCCUUGCUCUUUUAUUUUUAUGCUUGUUUGAUUUUAUUGUUCUAUAUUUCAUUAAGGUGUUAAAUUGAUUUAUUGUGCGAAUCGUAUUGCAUUAUUUUUAAAAACCCAAUUCACCCCCCCUCUUGGGUUGUGUUACUUGCAUUUCAUCUCGUAACCACGUCAUUCUCGUUUUCUAGGUAUAUUGGCUGGAAACCCGAGCAUGCGGACUAUUGGUCUAAAGGAUAACUCUGUUAUCGUUGCUCUGGUAUAACAACGCCACGUACUUAAAACAACGGAGCUCAAGGCCAAUAUGAUCAUGACAUGUUGUUUUCUAGAAGUUGGUGAGCUUCCAUACCUUCAAUUAAUGAAUUUUUCUAAGUUAUAGGAUAAAAAACUCUUAUGUCAGCAACAAAAUAGAGCAAUUUAUUAUAUUUUAUGUAUUCUAAUUUCAUAGUUUAUUACACUUGUACAAGAUCAUGUAUAUUCUUGUUACUAUGUAAUGCAGUAGAUUAACAUAGAAAACUAAAAAUGCCUAGGUCAGUGGUUUCUCAUAAUUUGUCAUCAACUAAAGUAAGAAGAAGCUAUUCGCUUAAGACACUAGGUUGGGGUAUCUUUUUUUUUUUUUAUUGGUUUGAAUUUGGUGGUGAAACACUAGUGAUAGGAUUUAUGCUAUGUUUGUUAUAACUCUUCAAUUUUGGCUUGCGAUAAAGAAGUUUCAUUAAAUAUCUUGCCUUUUUCAAUUCAUUUUAAAAUUGACUGAAAUAAGGGGUUAUAGUGGUAGAUAUUCAUUAAUAUUAAUGAAAUGCUAAUAAUCAUAUUUGAAUUGGUCACAUUAGGAUCUUUAGUCUUAUGUUCUAGUAAAAAAUAUAUAAAUUAUUUAGUUGUAAAAGCAUAAAUAAAUAUUUGAUAACAAAUUGUCAAUAUCUUUUCUAGAUUAGAGAUAUUAGUAUUAGUCAUAAUGUCCAACAUGUAUUUUAUCACAUAAUAUCUACAAUGGUCAACAAUUUUUGAGUUAAUGAGGACGUUACAAAAGAGAACGUAAUAGAUUUAUGUUAUACAAUGAAAAAAAUUCAUGUAUCAAUGGAUUAAAUAUCUUAUAUAAAACUAUUAUGAAUUUGAAUUUAAGACUAAUAUCCUUACUUUGAUUGUUUUCUGCAUGCAAUUUUUCCAAUUAAUUUUUUCAUGUGUUGCACUAAACAUUCUCAAUGAACUUAGUUUCAAAAUUAAAAAGCAUAUAUUCAAGACUUAUCUAUCUAAUAUAAAUAAAAUACUAACUAAAUAGCACAAUUUCAAUAAACUUACCAAUUAAUAAGCUCUUUUAGGUUUUGAUGCGGAUCAUGGCUAGUUGAAUCAAAAAAAUAACUUUAGUCUUCAUAUGAGUCAAUAAUAUCCAACAUCCAAUGCACUUAGUGCACAAAAUACUUAUCAUUCCAAGUUUCAAAUAGCUCUUAACACCAUCUUCAUAUAUUGUAAACUCAAAAACAAUAAAUUGACGCUUGAAGUUUCACUAACUACCUCGUAACCAAAUGUGCGUGGAUGUUCCCAUGAAAAAAUUGUACCUCUUUAUUGCCAAAAAAUAAAAGGGAAUUAGUUUGGACAUAAGAGUGAAUAACAAAAUAAAUAAACAAAAAAACAACAGCAGCUGUAAUUUUUUAGGUGUCAGUUAGCUAUUGUAUAGCAACUAAAAUAGAACCUAUAUAUCUUAGGUAAAAUAUCAAAUGUACAAUAUGAUAGCAGCCAAAAAAUUUUAAGUGCUGUCUAGCUAGUAACUCAUAACUAAAAUAGCAAACCUGCAUCAUAACAGCACCCAGCUGCUACAUUUGUGUUAAAUUAGUACUUGGAAGUUCCAAGUAUAGUUUUAACAAUAUUGCAGUAGCAUGAUAGCACCAAAAAAUUCUUUAGGUACUAAUUAAUAGCUAGUUUGCAGCUAAAAUAGGACCUGAAAGUUGAAGGUGCUAUCGCAACCACAAUGCAACAGCUUUAUAGACCCAAAAAUUACUUCACUGCUGUUUAACUAUUGUUUUAUGGCUAAAAUAGCCUUGGAAAUUCUAAGUGCUGUCUAAAUUGCAAUAGUGCAGCAAGACAACACAUAAAAUUUGUAGAUGCUAUCUUGCUAUUGUUUCAAUCGCAAACUACACCUAGAAAUUAGUGUCUAAAAAUAUUUUAUGCAGAACAAUUGCAAAACAAAUUCUACGCUCCCCGUAAAAUAAUAUUAAUAAAUGAAGUAAUUAAUCUUUAAGAUAUAACUUUUGUAUGAAGUAUCAAAUCCAAACUACAUAUGAAGAAGUUCACUAUCCAUGGGCCUUUUACCUCCACGAGGCAUUGCUCCGUCAGGCUUUUGCCUAUUGUAAAAAGUUCCCCACUUGUGCUUCUCGCUUCCCGUAGAAGUCAGAACCUUGUCUCAGUCUCAGUAUAUAUGAAGUAUCAAAUCAAUCCAUAUAUGAAAAUCUCUCAAAACACAUCCAUAAGUUGUCAAAACUUAACUUAUAUAGCAUAGCUCAACCAAAAUAAGAUAAUGAUAAAGGAAAUUUGAACAUUAAUACCUUCUUGUAAGUCUUUUCACUACUAGAAAAAAAGGCUUUUAUGAUGGUUAUUACUUAUUGUUGAGUGUUAGAACAUGUAUAUUUAUAAAGGAGAAAAUCGUCAUUUUACACUUUAAGUUUUACUAACACCCUUACUUUUAUGUAUUUAACCUUCUUGUGAUUUAAUUACGUGUGUUUUAUUUUAAUUAAGUAUUUUAUGUAUUUUAGGGGCAUCAUGGUCAUUUCACAAUGAACAAGAAAUCAGAUGGCAAAAUGGACAUCACUUUUGAACUCAGGACAAUCGAAAACCUUAGGAGGAGUAUAAAAAGAAAAAUGUCACUGUUCACAUGUACGAUCCUAUUCACAUGUACGGUAUUGUCUACAUUACUGUUCAGACAUUGUUCACAUAGAUGGACCGAUGAUGUGGCAUUGACUGAUGAGGUGUUACGAUUUCAUUAGAGAAAAUUCUUAUGCAUUGUUGAUUGGUGGCGUGGCAGCAUGUUAGUGGACAAAAAAUUACGCGUACGGUAAAUGCACAUACACAGGAUUAUUUUCAACCAAACUGCAUCACUGUUCAAGCCGGUUGACUUUUCAAACUGCGUACUGUUGACUGAUGAUGUGGCGCAAUCCUGAGCGUCCAAACUGUUUUUAUUCCGAUGGCUAUGAUUUACUCAAUGUAUCUACAAAAAAAGGGUCUCUGCCCCCUAAUUUGGCAUCUCUGAAUUCAUUUUUGGGCUCUAUUUUCUAUAAUUCCUUCUCCAUCUUACAUUUUCUACGUAUUUUAAAAAAUUCCUAUUUUUCCCCUAGUUCAAUUAUGAGUAGUUAAUUUUAUUUCAAGCUUGGGUUCAAGGUGAAGUCUCAACAUGUGUCGUGGGCUUUAUUUGGUAAAUUUAUUUUCUCAUCCCCUCUAGUUUUUGUGGAUGUUUUGGCUUCUCGUCGACAAGUAAUAAUAAUCUUGUCUAGAUACCGCCCUGGUUUCACUGGCUCCCUAGUACAAGGUUAUUAUUAUUUGGCACGAUAAGCCCUUAGCACCGUAUUGAUGGGCACCCUAAAGUAUUUAAGGAUCUGCGUGAUGAAAUUUCCAUAUGGAAAAGCAUGACUGAUCAAGUUAGGUAUGGAAAGCAUGGUGCGUAUAAUAAUGUACUCGAGGUUAAUCGGACGAUGCCUGAGGAUAGAAUCAAUCAAAGCAACAUCCAUGUGGGUAACAUCAUCUAAGUGCGCCGACCUAGGAAGGACAAUAUUCUGGAUUAAACGAUGUAAAAUACAGGAUUAGAAGCAUAGACAAUGAGCACGGAAAUGGAUUGUACAGACCUCAUCAGAAGGAUCAAUGCGCCUACAAAUGUUUCUAACAGCAUCAACAUGAACAAAGUUAUCAAUCGUAGGAGCUUUCCUAGCAGAAUAUAUUUCUAACCCAUCUUCGGAGGAACGUAGGAUAGAAUUCAACUUUGUAUCAUCAAAUUCAAUCAAAACUCCUCCAACAUUGGUGAUUACUUGAUUCUCUUUCUCCGCGGAAGUAUCCAUAUUCGAGUAAAAUACUUUCACCAAGUCAGAAUACACAUUCUCAUUAAUUGUAAGGGCAUUAAUCCAACCAACUUCCUCCAAAAAUUGCCCAUGGUGCAUGUUGAUACGAAUCUAGAUACCCAAGUGCGUCAUUUCAAUAGAUUUCACUUCAAUUCAUUUCCGCCAUUUUAAUUCAAAUUUUAGGAUAAUCUAAAUUACUUUCGCCACAAAUCCAACCACCUAUUUAGGAAAAUUAAUUCUACACACAAUUAAAAUCCACCUCCUCGUGGGAUCGACACUCGUCACCAUUGAUCUAUCCUACAAUAGAUUCAUGCACUUGCGAGUUUAAUAAAAUUCACACAACAAGUUUUUGGCGCCGUUACCAGGGAGGUAAGUUAUUUUAAUUCGUAGAAUUAAUUUUUGUGAAUAAUUUCUUUUAAUUGUUUUCUUGUAAUUUUUUUAUUAAAAAAAGAAAAAAAGUGAAUCUACAUUUAGAGGUAAGAAUUUCUUUUCUUUUUCUCUUCUUUAAAAUUCUGUAAUUUAUUUUUUAUUUAUUUUUCUUUGUAAUUUUUUUUGUUUAUCUUAUUAAUUUAUUUUUAGUUAAUUUAUUUCAUGUAUUUGUUUUAGUGUAUUUUUAUAGAAAGGUUGCAACAGCGUGAUAAGGUUCGUACCGUAAUUUCUCCUUCUUCUUUAUUUUUAUUUAUUUUGGUUUCAUUUUUUUUUGUAUUCUUUGCAUGCAUGGUCGAAGGUCAUUAUUACCUAAUCUUGAGCCUAUAGACGUUGAAUAGAAAAAACAUUGCGCACACACAAACACACUAAAGAUAAAAUUGAAAUGGAUUUGUAAUAACAACAAGCACCACAGGAGAGGCCAUUUAAGGACUACUUCAGUCCCUUAGCUAAUUUAAGCACAUCAUGCAUAAGAUACCAAAAUGUAGCUGCUAGGAGUUUUGAACUAAAACCUAGUGUGCUAAAUUGUCUCCCAACAUUCUAUGGCUUAGAAAAUGAGGACCCAUAUAAUCAUCUAAAUGAUUUUCAUGCUGUUUCUCAAACUUUUAAAUAUGAGAAUUUUUCAGAAGAUGAUGUUAAACUUAGAUUAUUCCCAUUUUCUUUAAAAGAUAGAGCUCGUUCAUGGCUCAAUACAUUACCUGCCAAUAGCAUCACAUCAUGGGAACAAAUGGUAACUAAAUUUUUGAAUAAAUAUUUCCUAGUGCAUAAAACCAAUGUUAUUCACAGGGAAAUCUCAGAGUUUACCCAAAGAGAAGAUGAGCAGUUUUUCAAAAUAUGGGAGCGAUUCAAUGGGCUACUCUUGAAGUGUCCACAUCAUGGGUACGAGAAAUGGCACCAAUAUCAAUAUUUUUUUAGAAGGAUUAUUGUCGAAUGUGCAAGAAUGGAUAAUGGCAACAAGUGGAGGAGAGCUAAUGUCAAAAAGUGCAUCAGAGAUUUGGGAAUUCUUCUAGCGACAAGCCGAUAAUUCCCAACAAUGGAGUCGGUCACUCAAGAAUACUAAAAGAAUUAAAGGAGUGAAUGAGGUUCACAUUGGCGAGUCAUCUUCAGGAAUCAAAGAAGUCAAGGAGAUGGUUGAAGGUCUCUCUCGACAAAUAGCAUCGUUAUCGACUGCUAAAUCAACAGAACCACAUGACCAUGACUCAUAUCCAGAUCAAGCCAAUGCCAUAGGUGUAAUGAGAAAGCUAUCAAAUUAUGGAGAGGACACCGAAAUAAAUUUGAGUGACCCACCAGAUUUGAAUUGAGUUUUUUUCUUUCUUUUCGAUGAUUUGAUUUUUUUUUCUUUUUAUUAUUUUUUUACUAAUUGAAAUUAUUUUUGCAUAAGGGUGUUUGUUUAACCAUUAAGUUUUCUCUUAUCAUUUUUAAUCAUGAGUGCCAUAGCUAAACAGUUCCUCCUGGACAUUCUUAAACCACUUCAACGUGGAAAAUCUCAUCUCAAAAGGCAGAUUCGAUUUUGUAAAACACAUCAUAUUUGGGCUCUGCAACCACUAGAGUUAGUAUCCUAUGUUGAGGAUUUAGAAAGCCAACUCAGAGACAUUGAGAGAAGUGUCUACAACAUCUAGUUGGAGCUUGAGGUAAAUUCAAUAAGAAGACGAUUGUAAUUUUUUUGUGUUUUAGUUUGUUUUUCUUUAUUUGUGUGCUUUAGUUUGUUACCCUGGUGAAGUGGCGGAUAACGGUACUCCGUGACAAUCAAGUCAGUGACUUCAGUUUCCCUUAAUAACUGAUAUUCUGAGGUGAAGGUAUGGACAGAAACGAGAUUCUAGCAAAGCCUCACAAUUAACUCCCUUGACUUCCUCAGAAUGCCCUCCUUACAAUCUAUAAAGCUCGGUCCGAACGCAUGAGAUUGCUCAUGAGGAAUAACAUACCUACUGACAUACGUUGGUUAAUCAAGGCUAAAUUACGAUUGGCAGGUGAGUUACUUCUAAAAUUUAUUGCAUACAUGCCUAGUUGUGAUAAAGGAAAUUAUGCAAGAAAACGAAGAGCUCGAAGAAUUUCUGUUGGUUAUCAUAAAUGUGCUAGAAUGGGAUGCAAUAAAAACCCAUGUUCUUUAGGAAUGUUGUCUGAUAACAGGGAAGAUAAGAUUCAAUUCAUUAGGGAUGGCUUGAACAAGGAGUCAUUGGAUGAUAUCCUUUUGUCUCUUGAAACGCAUCCCAGUGGACAUGUGCAAGGAGUGAUUCUCCAGUUAUAGCCAUUAUUCCAGAAAGAGCAUGCACAAUAUAGUCUCGGGAAUCUGACUAUAAACGACCAUGUUUGCCAGUUUAUAAGAAAACUGGAUGGGAAGGCUAUCCUCGACCCAUAGAGGGCGUUCGAGCCGUUUAUGGACAUAAAACCAGAGGAAGAUGUGAGCCACAGUCGCAACUACUUGUAAAUAUCAUUUUACUUCACUGUUACGUAUUUCACUGUUGUUUUAUCAUUUGCAUUAUUGUCUUUAAUAAUUUUAUUUUAUCAUUAUUUCUUUUUCUUUUUACUGUUUCAUUUUUUACUCGCGAGCCAUAUGUUUUACGCGUUAUUAGACACUGACAUGCCACCUCAUAUACAGUUGUGACCCACUGUCACCAAGAUCUUAAAUAUGACUUUUUGUUAAGUACUCACAAAUUGUUUUUGAGAAAUAUUCCAAUGGUAGCUACUCCCAAUAGACAAUUCAAGAACAUUUGUGUGCUUUCUGAAUUUAACUAUGACAAACAUAAAGAGUUUGUUGAGGCAACCAUAGAUCUUGGUCGAAACAUAGCAGAGAGAAAAUUACACUUGGUGUAUGGAGGAGGUAACCGAGGGUUAUCAAAAUUGGUCUCAGAAGCUACUUUUGUCAGAGGAAGCCAAGUGUUAGGCAUUAUCCCAAGAACCCUAAAACCUUUGGGCAGUUUGUCUUACCCACCGACUGAAGAAGAGUUAGUCGUCUCAGGUAUGCAAGAAAGAAUAACUAAAAUGCAUAAUCAUGCUGAUGCUUUUAUUUUCCUUCCAGGAGAUCUUGCAACACUAGAGGCACUUAUCACACUAGCAUCUUGGGCCCAUCUGCACAUUCACUAGAAACCCAUCGGUUUGUUAAAUGUCAAUAAUUUUUAUGAUGGCUUUAUCGCAUUUCUUAACCAUGCAAUAAAAAACUAUUUCAUUCAUUCCACAGCAAAAAAACUUUUUAUUUGUGGUCACACUGCUAAUGAGCUACUUGAUCUGUUACAAGCUUAUAAACCGGAGCCAGACCCCUGGACCUUUGUGUUGGAGCGUCCAAAUAAUGAUGGUAACAGUAGCGGCAAUAAGAAGUACAAAUUAGAUUUAACUCUCCGCUUGUAAAUAUUUUCUUCUGUAUUGCACCACCCAGGUGAUGUCUUCUAAACUCUAUUUCUUUCCUUUAAAACAUUGAGGACAAUGUUUCGUUCUGGUUGGGGGGAGGGAAUAGUCGACAAUUGUGAAAUCUUGGUUAAGUUUUUUCUAAUUUUUUGUUGUAAAGACUAAUCGUGGUAACUUUU